CUUACCGGAGGCGACAUGGAUCCCGAUCCCACCCCUCUCCCUCGAUGGAGAACCCCUUUUUUCCGGUAAGCCUCACGUUAUUGCCUUACCGGAUGCGUAGGGCAGUAGCGUCCU
This is a regulatory RNA element of 114 nucleotides. It matches the Rfam family "Magnesium riboswitch aptamer (Magnesium responsive RNA element)". From Rfam's summary of the family: The Magnesium sensor RNA element is a cis-regulatory element that regulates the expression of the magnesium transporter protein MgtA. It is located in the 5' UTR of this gene. The record is from Rfam.